This 804-nucleotide non-coding RNA is filed under the name Pongo abelii (Sumatran orangutan). The record is from RNAcentral. Lineage: Eukaryota; Metazoa; Chordata; Mammalia; Primates; Hominidae.
GUGAGACGUGGUCUUGUAACACAGUGGUUAAGAAUGUGACUUUGGAGCCAGCCUGCUAGGGGCUGAAUUCUGACUCAGCCAUUUAUUAACUGUGUGACCUUAGAUGGAGUCUCACUCUGUAGCCCAAGCUGGAGUGGCGUGAUCUCGACUCACUGCAACCUCCGCCUCCUGGGCUCAAGUGAUUCUCGUGCCUCAGCCUCCUGAGUAGCUGGGACUACAGUUGUCCCUUCACGUGGGAUUGCUUCCAGUACCUCUGUGUAUAACAAAAGCUGCACCAUUCAAGUCCCACAGUUGCUCUGCGAAACCUCUGUAUAUGAAAAGUUGGCCCUCCAUGUACAUGGGUUUCCCAUCCUGUCAUAGAAUUUUCCACACUCCUUGACGGAGGUUCUUAACCCUUAUCCAUCAGCAUUCUCAGACAGCACCUCCGGUUAGGGACAGUAUCUGACCGUCCGACAUCCCUGCAGCCCCCAUGCUGUCACACAGACUCAGCCUCAGGUAGAUGGUUUCCGUAGAUGGUGGCUUUCUUUGGACCCUUGAUAUCAACCAGUUACUAUUUGGGGACCAGAUGUGCAGAGGUAAUGAAUACCAGGGAAUCAGGAAACCACUGGAUCAGUUCUUUGAGCCAUAGAACAACACUCAUCCCAGCAGCUGGGAAGCUAUCUGCAAAAGUCCAUCUGCAGAAAGGGCUUCCUGGUCUUGCGUGUGGCUGGGCCAUUUCUCUGGAUGCAGGUUUUUCAUUAUACAGUCUUCUCAAAGGACCACCUGCUCUCAACACCUUCUCGGUGACUCCAUUUCCCCUCCUCU